This 492-nucleotide ribosomal RNA is filed under the name uncultured bacterium. RNAcentral describes it as "partial 16S ribosomal RNA". It matches the Rfam family "Bacterial small subunit ribosomal RNA", at positions 29 to 507 of the family's 1533-position model. The record is from RNAcentral.
AGUGAACGCUGGCGGUAGGCCUAACACAUGCAAGUCGAACGGCAGCACAGUAAGAGCUUGCUCUUACGGGUGGCGAGUGGCGGACGGGUGAGGAAUACAUCGGAAUCUACUUUUUCGUGGGGGAUAACGUAGGGAAACUUACGCUAAUACCGCAUACGACCUACGGGUGAAAGCAGGGGAUCUUCGGACCUUGCGCGAUUGAAUGAGCCGAUGUCGGAUUAGCUAGUUGGCGGGGUAAAGGCCCACCAAGGCGACGAUCCGUAGCUGGUCUGAGAGGAUGAUCAGCCACACUGGAACUGAGACACGGUCCAGACUCCUACGGGAGGCAGCAGUGGGGAAUAUUGGACAAAGGGCGCAAGCCUGAUCCAGCCAUACCGCGUGGGUGAAGAAGGCCUUCGGGUUGUAAAGCCCUUUUGUUGGGAAAGAACAGCAGCAGGUUAAUACCCCGCUGUUCUGACGGUACCCAAAGAAUAAGCACCGGCUAACUUCGUG